GUACACUCUUCAAACACAUCUACAGAUAAAGGGUAAAGCUCUGUUGUAUUACAUCUUGAUGAGAGAGCAACAGCAUUGUCUGAAGAAUGAUUAAAUAAGGGCCAAUUCUGUUCAAAGCUGUUUCGCAUCUCCUUGGAUUGAAGUCUCUGAAAAUGUUCUCCUUGCAUCUAUAUGGUCUUUCUGAUUCUGAUGAUGUAAACUAUUUGCCAAAGCACGAAAGUGACAGAUUGAGUACUUAAGUCCCAAUUGUUUCAAUUACUAAAUGAAAAGAAACUAAAUGGCUAAAAAAAAAUAUUUCUGUAUAAUAAAAGAACAUUACUCAUAUCGCUAGAAUAUAAAUCACAGGAAUAGCCUGUUACUUCUUCCCAGAAAGGAUGGAACAGAGCCAGUCUGUCUAACUUAAGUACUUAAACUUAGUUUCACAGAUGUGUCUCUGGAGGACUCAAAAAUAACCAUGUUAAUUAAUUUUCAUAGGAUGAAAACAGCACUUAAAGCAAAAAAAAAAACCAAAAAAAAAAACAAAACCAAAAACCAAAACAACACAGCCAGAAGCAAAUAGUCUAUCUAAGCAUCUGAAGUUUAGAAACAAGGUAAUUGUCUAGUUUAUUUUAUCCAUAUUUUAACAUUUCUUAUGUGGCUUAUUGAUAUUGAAUUUGUAAAUAGAGCUAGCUGGCUUACGCUGUAAAAACAAUACUCUAUUUAUAAUCAAAAUAAAGCAAGCAACAUCCUCACACCCACCAGAAUUUAUUCCAGACUUAUUUAAUAAUAUAGAGAAUUUGUAUUUUUAAUUAACUACAUUUAUGCUUGAAAUUUGUAUAAUUUUAUUUGAAAUCUCCAGUGUUGUUUGAAGAGGCUCAGUCACUCUGAAAAUGUGAAAAUCAGGCCAGUUACUCAGUAAGUGUGAUUUACCAUGGGUUCAACAGCCUACAGGUAUGUCCAGCCUAGUGCUGUGUAUUGUGCGGAAAUGUCUGAGCUAGUUACAAAGGAGCUAGUUAUGAAUUUGGAAAUGUAUCAGCUCUGGGCUAAACACAGCCCUGCUGACCUGACUAUACUGUUUAUAUGCUAUGAGUUAGUAUCCUUAAAUAGUUCUGUGGUAACUCAUGCAAACUUACCAACUAAUUCUAGCAUUCAACAUAUCUCUAGUCAGUGCUCCAUUUUGUAGUACAAAAAUAUACAAAACUCAAGCAUGUUUAAAAACAAGCUGUAUUAAAAAAUUUUGCACUAAAUUGUUUAAAAUUUUGUGCAGAUGUAAUUGAACAUAUUAAUUGUUAGAUGU
This 1276-nucleotide long non-coding RNA is filed under the name Taeniopygia guttata (zebra finch). RNAcentral describes it as "lncRNA (ENSTGUG00000026317.1)". Lineage: Eukaryota; Metazoa; Chordata; Aves; Passeriformes; Estrildidae. The record is from RNAcentral.